Long non-coding RNA from Camelina sativa (false flax), 903 nucleotides. RefSeq lists it as uncharacterized. NCBI's taxonomy places the organism in Eukaryota, Viridiplantae, Streptophyta, Magnoliopsida, Brassicales, Brassicaceae. The record is from RefSeq and is a predicted model, not a curated record.
GGUAAACGAAUCUCGGCGACUGAACCGUCGUGGCUGACCGUUCCUCGCGGUGGCGUGGCAUAUGAAUCUCCUCCUCGCCGUAUGAGGUUACUGCUGAUGGCGGCGGCGGAGUUUUAACUUGCCGGAAGAUGUAUUCGUAGUAGAACUGAACACAGCGGACCGGAGCCGUGGGCCACGCAAACCGUUGCUACUAUUCCAUUACUACAACCUACAGGAGCUACUCAUAUAAAGCAUGGAACUUUGGCAAAGAAAAGGCACAAAGACAAAGCAAGCAGGAGACCAGUCGUUGGUCCAAAAAACAAAAUAACCCAUUUGCUGAAAUUUGAGUUCCCCCUCCUUUGCUUUUUUUUCUGCAUUCUCGAGGUUAGUCCUAAAGUUGCAACUUUUCCUUUACUUAAAAAAACCCAAAACAUUACAUUUUUUAAAGAACGAGAUAGUGAGAUCUUGAAAUGUUUGAUGGAGAUUGUUUUGUGUUUUUUUUUUUGAAUUUUAAAACAAUAAUAUUCUUAUUCCCCUGAUGGGUUUAUUUGAUGUGACCAAUGAGAUCUCUGAUAUGGUCGGAGGGAUCCAAAAGAAGUUAAAAGCAAAGCAAAAUCUUGGGUGGUAAUUGGAUUAUAAGGUAGAUAAAGGUCCAAUGCACAAUCUUUAAAACAAGUGGCUGAUGACUGUAGCAGACGAAUUAGGGAUGUGGCGAUGGCUGUGACCCAAUCUUGAUUUAGUCGGGUCCUAAAUUUGUCUUGAUUAAGGAAGGUUUAGGCUCUGGACCGGCUUGCAGUGGACCGUGCUAAAACAAUGGGUUUGCAGAUCUGGUCCUGGCCUACUUCGAUUUAGUAGUCUUUCUUUAUGUGGAUUAAACGGGAUCUAGUUGGAAAAUUUUCAAAUAGUUCUCACGCCAUUUCUACA